CCACCACUAAGCCAGUGGUGAACUCCACAUACGCAUCCUUUGCUGAGGAUACGGUUAACGGAGCGAAAGCGACGUUCAACCGCAAAAGAAGCAGAGGGGGCUUAGUGGUGGGGUGACUGCGUACCUUUUGUAUAAUGGGUCAGCGACUUAUAUUCUGUAGCAAGGUUAACCGUAUAGGGGAGCCGGAGGGAAACCGAGUCUUAAUUGGGCGUUAAGUUGCAGGGUAUAGACCCGAAACCCGGUGAUCUAGCCAUGGGCAGGUUGAAGGUUGGGUAACACUAACUGGAGGACCGAACCGACUAAUGUUGAAAAAUUAGCGGAUGACCUGUGGCUGGGGGUGAAAGGCCAAUCAAACCGGGAGAUAGCUGGUUCUCCCCGAAAGCUAUUUAGGUAGCGCCUCGUGAAUUCAUCUCCGGGGGUAGAGCACUGUUUCGGCUAGGGGGCCAUCCCGGCUUACCAACCCGAUGCAAACUGCGAAUACCGGAGAAUGUUAUCACGGGAGACACACGGCGGGUGCUAACGUCCGUCGUGAAGAGGGAAACAACCCAGACCGCCAGCUAAGGUCCCAAAGUCAUGGUUAAGUGGGAAACGAUGUGGGAAGGCCCAGACAGCCAGGAUGUUGGCUUAGAAGCAGCCAUCAUUUAAAGAAAGCGUAAUAGCUCACUGGUCGAGUCGGCCUGCGCGGAAGAUGUAACGGGGCUAAACCAUGCACCGAAGCUGCGGCAGCGACGCUGAUGCGUUGUUGGGUAGGGGAGCGUUCUGUAAGCCUGCGAAGGUGGCCUGUGAGGGUUGCUGGAGGUAUCAGAAGUGCGAAUGCUGACAUAAGUAACGAUAAAGCGGGUGAAAAGCCCGCUCGCCGGAAGACCAAGGGUUCCUGUCCAACGUUAAUCGGGGCAGGGUGAGUCGACCCCUAAGGCGAGGCCGAAAGGCGUAGUCGAUGGGAAACGGGUUAAUAUUCCCGUACUUGGUGUUACUGCGAAGGGGGGACGGAGAAGGCUAUGUUGGCCGGGCGACGGUUGUCCCGGUUUAAGCGUGUAGGUGUGUGUUCCAGGUAAAUCCGGUUCACUUUAACACUGAGGCGUGAUGACGAGGCACUACGGUGCUGAAGCAACAAAUGCCCUGCUUCCAGGAAAAGCCUCUAAGCAUCAGGUAACAUCAAAUCGUACCCCAAACCGACACAGGUGGUCAGGUAGAGAAUACCAAGGCGCUUGAGAGAACUCGGGUGAAGGAACUAGGCAAAAUGGUGCCGUAACUUCGGGAGAAGGCACGCUGACACGUAGGUGAAGUGAUUUACUCAUGGAGCUGAAGUCAGUCGAAGAUACCAGCUGGCUGCAACUGUUUAUUAAAAACACAGCACUGUGCAAACACGAAAGUGGACGUAUACGGUGUGACGCCUGCCCGGUGCCGGAAGGUUAAUUGAUGGGGUCAGCGCAAGCGAAGCUCCUGAUCGAAGCCCCGGUAAACGGCGGCCGUAACUAUAACGGUCCUAAGGUAGCGAAAUUCCUUGUCGGGUAAGUUCCGACCUGCACGAAUGGCGUAAUGAUGGCCAGGCUGUCUCCACCCGAGACUCAGUGAAAUUGAACUCGCUGUGAAGAUGCAGUGUACCCGCGGCAAGACGGAAAGACCCCGUGAACCUUUACUAUAGCUUGACACUGAACAUUGAGCCUUGAUGUGUAGGAUAGGUGGGAGGCUUUGAAGUGUGG
This 1703-nucleotide ribosomal RNA is filed under the name Salmonella enterica subsp. enterica serovar Chester. Its description in RNAcentral is "partial 23S ribosomal RNA". It matches the Rfam family "Bacterial large subunit ribosomal RNA", at positions 1 to 2167 of the family's 2925-position model. Lineage: Bacteria; Pseudomonadati; Pseudomonadota; Gammaproteobacteria; Enterobacterales; Enterobacteriaceae. The record is from RNAcentral.